UAAGUGCCAGCUGCCAUCGGUGAAGGAUCUCUGUAGGAGAUCCCUCCUUUGUGGAGUUUUCCCUGCAAGCCUUGAUCUUCAGGGAUGGGCAUCUUCUUGAAUCUUUCAUUUUCCUGAACAAGUGCAGUGAUGGCAGAUUUCAUUGGACGCAGAGAAAAGAGGAGCAAGGUAGACAAUCUUUGUCUGUACCCAGUGUGCAGGUGCCCAGGCUGUCUUGUUCUGGAGAUGGAAGACACAACUAUGCAUCCAAGGGAUUUCAGCUGAAGAGGAAGGCAGCAAACUUGCUUGACUGUCUGUUCACGUGGUCUCCAUACUGAAUUUCAUGUGAACUGGCAGAUUAACGAGAGCAAUCUCACAACUUCUGACCAGAUAUUUUAACUUAGGGAUACACAUCAUCCAUUUUCCUCUUGAAGGACUGAGUUCAGCCUCUUUCCAUUUUCUUUGGAAAUAGAAGAGUUUGAGCCCUGGACGAAAUAUUUGUUAGACAUCCUGGCCUUUGUGCAUUGAGAUAUAUCAACCUAUGAUGAGGAUACAAAAUACCAGGUUCCCAAUAAGAAGUUACAUUUUCAGAGUUCAGAUUGAGAAGGACAGAUUUAAGCAUCUGAAUGCAGAGCAGAAUUACAAUUUGAAUUAAAUCUCUCACAUUUUUAUAAUUUUGUCUAAAUUUAAUAUAGAGUUAGAACAUCAGUUUUAUUUAAAGACUUUAGAAAUAAAUCUGAUGUUGGUUUAACUUGUAACAUCUGGAAACAGAUCAUGACAAAGGUCAUUACUCCAGUUUUGUAUCUCAAAUAUGGAACAUCUUUUUCACUGCUGCUCUUCUCACUCCUCUACCACCCUGGAAACUUGGAGUACUGCUCUUUACAACAAUUGCUGCUAGCAAUAUGCACAACGUUAGAAGCUAAUGAAUGUUUUCUAAUGGUGCUUGCAUCACAUGUUGAAUUCAUCUGAUUUUACUAUAGAAUCAGGUUGUUGUCUGAGAGAUGUUCUGUUUUGGGAAUCAUUGUAUUGCUGUUUGUGGAAACUUGAUUCUCCAGUUUCAGAAUAAAUGCAAGAAACUUUGCUUUGUUAUUAAUUAGUAAGAAAACAAACUAGCGAACAAACUGACUAUUGGGAGAAACAUCUGGGAAAAUUAUAUACCUUGUAUGAGUUCUGAUAUAACUACUGUGCCUUCAUCACCUAAAUGUCAGCUACCUAAAUGCUACUAUUAAGAAUUUGUUGAGGAAUGUGCUGUUUCAGCAAGUGCUGAUGUGUGUUGAUAGAUAGAUACCUAUAAGACUGUAGAAACCUUGUCAGCUUCUCACCUCACUCCAUCUCAUAGCUGACUCAUAUUUCUGUUCCUCAUAGAAUGUCCUGUGCUCUUUUUUUCCAACUAAUUGCAUGUAUUUAACUGAAAAUCAGAUCGUGCAAAUAUAAAAACACAGAUUGUAGUAGACAGCAGCUCUUGGGGUGCGCUGAUUAGCGCUUAAGCAGUAAUAGUACUAAUAACAUUUCCUGGAUGUUGCUGACAUGUUACGUUUCCUCAUAGCAAGACGUUUCAGACAAGGGAAUUAGCAGCAAUAUUGGAAGAAAGGGUUGCCUGGUAAUUAAUGUAAAUAGUGUGGUUAAUGACUCUGCUAAACCAAAGUGGCAUGUGAUUGUAAUGGAAAUGCUACACCGGUUGGAAAACAAGAUAUUAAUUUAGAACAUAAGGACAAGAAGAAAUAAUGUUUGGGGACUGAGUAAAGGGCAUUCGGCUUCUCAAGGCUCAUUUCCUUUUUCUGUAGUACUCCAUUAACCACAAGAUGCUAUCAUGAUUUUUAAUGACCCCAAUGUUUUUGCCUCAACAGCUUUGUCUGGUUGAAAAUUCCAGACACCUGUGAUGGUGGUUCACAUGAUUGAUAGCAAAUUUCUUUCUGCCUGCUUGGAUUUCAUUCUUUAAUUCCACAUAAGAAAUUCAUUGGGAAUCAUAAUUAUACAGGAAAACUUAAUUCCUUUCUGUCCUCUUCAGUAGCAAGUGUCUGAAACUGAGACACAUUUACACUCAUGCUUUACAUGUAAUGGCAUUAUAUAAUUACAUUUUACUGAGUAAUACUUUAAAUCAAUUUUCUAAGGCAACAUCCAUAAUUUUAAGGAAAUUAUUAGUACUGAGGUUCCUAGUUUUAUUGAUGAGAUGCUUUAGUAUGAAGGUAAUUAAAUCUAUGACAAUUUAAACCAUCUUACAAAUAUAAUUUUCCCAAGAGAUUCCAGUAGGACUAAGAUAUGAAUUGUAGUAGUGUCAUAAAGAAGACUUUCCUCUUGUUGUUACGUAUUUAAUACUUCCUGUCUGCUUUCUAAGCUGUAAUGCACAGUAUUUUUGUAUGCUGGAAAACAACUGCCUUAAUUUAUGCAGAUUGUGAAAAAGAUAUCCAUAGAAGUCCUGAUUUUGUACCACUGUAAUUCAAAGAUGAAUUUAUUUGUAUUUACAUGUUUAUGUUGCAAUCUUGUCCAUAAAUGCCAAUCAGGUGUCAUAAAAAUCCUGUCAAGGAAAACAUCUCUAUGCUCUUGCAGAAGACUGUUCAUCCUGUUUAUGAGUUGUCUGGAAAAAAUCCACCAGUUGGGCAUAAUGACUGAAAUGUAUCAAUUUCUAAACAUUUAGUCAUAGCUAGUUACCAGAAAUUUCAAAGCUGGCCUUAAUAAAUGCAUAUAGUACUUCACGCAUCACUUGUUGCAAGCAAGUUUUAGGCUUCCCCUUACAGAAACAGGGCUUUAAUUGACAAUCCCUGGUACAAACCUUGUGCAUAUCCUUGCUUUACUUAGGUAUACAAUAAUUUUAAAAUGUAAUUAAAUAAAUUUUUAGACAAGUGAGACUGUAGAAAUUAAUUACAUUUUGUCAGGAAACUUAGAAUAUUUCACUGUUUAGUGGAUGAUUCUGCUCGUCUUUAUAGAAGUAAUGAUCCUUACAAAACAUCUGCCGAUGAAAGUUUAUCCUGUGCUCAAGAAGAAAAGGGAGAAAGAAGAAAGGUGUGGAAGGAAAACUCACCUUUGUCAACCUGAAAAUGCAUAGCAGAAGGUGAUUUUUGUUCCUCCAGAAGUCUAGAAACUAUGUUUUUUGUUUUACUGAGGGGUAGAAACAUGUUUAGAAACAGAAAGGAAUGGCUGAAAAAUUGAGUUGUUCUUCUCUGCACAUAGCUACAGAAAAUCACAAAUUUAUUUUGAGACUUGUGAAAAUAUAUAAAAUUCCUUUGUUUCUACUGCAUGUUGACAUGCGCAUAACAACAGAGUCCCCUGGACAAAAAUCCAGCAUAUGUACAACUGUAAGGUUAAGGCUUACUCAUUAUAACAACUCUUAUGGUUUUGGGGCUCAUACACAUCCUACCAUGAUCUGAAUAGGAUGCUGUAAUCAGAAGAUGUAGAGAUAAAAAAGGGCAGUAUAUAAACAACAAACAAACAAAAAAUUUUCCUUUUUCCAAACAAGCUGUAUUUUGUGAAAUAAACUGAAUCUGUACUACAGAAAAGCAUGCGACAGAUUCACGUAACAGAUUGCUUUAGGACUAGAUGAAGAUCAGAAAAUGAUGAACCCUACUUAUUAUUAUGCCCUGUAUACAUUAUACGAACCAUUUGGAUGUUGACCUGAGGGGUUAUGUCUCAUAAAAAGCAAAGGAUUAUCAGGCAUACUGAAAAACACUGAUAAUGGAAAUUGCUUUUUUUAUUAAUCCAUGCUUAAAUUUUCUGUUUGUAAUUCUUGUGACCUAAAUAAUUGUUCUGAGGGAGCCCUGAGUGCUUUAUAAACUGUGUGCAC
Long non-coding RNA from Lagopus muta (rock ptarmigan), 3757 nucleotides. RefSeq lists it as uncharacterized. NCBI's taxonomy places the organism in Eukaryota, Metazoa, Chordata, Aves, Galliformes, Phasianidae. The transcript has 3 exons. The record is from RefSeq and is a predicted model, not a curated record.